Molecule: ribosomal RNA, 460 nt
Filed under: uncultured bacterium
Lineage: Bacteria
Description: partial 16S ribosomal RNA
Rfam family: Bacterial small subunit ribosomal RNA
Source: RNAcentral
CCUACGGGUGGCAGCAGUGAGGAAUAUUGGUCAAUGGACGAGAGUCUGAACCAGCAAAGUAGCGUGAAGGAUGACUGCCCUAUGGGUUGUAAACUUCUUUUAUAAAGGAAUAAAACGAGGCACGUGUGCCUUUUUGCAUGUACUUUAUGUAUAAGGAUCGGCUAACUCCUGGCCAGCAGCCGCGGUAAUACGUAGGAUCCGAGCGUUAUCCGGAUUUGUUGGGUUUAAAGGGAGCGUAGAUGGGUUGUUAAGUCAGUUGUGAAAGUUUGCGGCUCAACCGUAAAAUUGCAAUUGAUACUGGCAGUCUUGAGUACAGUUGAGGUAGGCGGAAUUCGUGGUGUAGCGGUGACAUGCUUAGAUAUCACGAAGAACCCCGAUUGCGAAGGCAGCUUACUAAACUGUGACUGACAUUGAUGCUCGAAAGUGUGGGUAUCAAACAGGAUUAGAUACCCUAGUAGUC